This 692-nucleotide ribosomal RNA is filed under the name uncultured Bacteroidota bacterium. RNAcentral describes it as "bacterial SSU rRNA". It matches the Rfam family "Bacterial small subunit ribosomal RNA", at positions 58 to 736 of the family's 1533-position model. The record is from RNAcentral. Lineage: Bacteria; Pseudomonadati; Bacteroidota.
CAAGUCGAGGGGAAACGAUAGAGAAAGCUCGCUUUUUCUAGGCGUCGACCGGCGCACGGGUGAGUAACGCGUAUCCAACCUGCCCACCACUUGGGAAUAACCUUGCGAAAGUAAGACUAAUACCCAAUGAUAUCUCUAGAAGACAUCUGAAGGAGAUUAAAGAUUUAUCGGUGAUGGAUGGGGAUGCGUCUGAUUAGCUUGUUGGCGGGGUAACGGCCCACCAAGGCGACGAUCAGUAGGGGUUCUGAGAGGAAGGUCCCCCACAUUGGAACUGAGACACGGUCCAAACUCCUACGGGAGGCAGCAGUGAGGAAUAUUGGUCAAUGGACGAGAGUCUGAACCAGCCAAGUAGCGUGCAGGAUGACGGCCCUAUGGGUUGUAAACUGCCUUUAUAAGGGAAUAAAGUGAGAGUCGUGACUCUUUUUGCAUGUACCUUAUGAAUAAGGACCGGCUAAUUCCGUGCCAGCAGCCGCGGUAAUACGGAAGGUCCGGGCGUUAUCCGGAUUUAUUGGGUUUAAAGGGAGCGUAGGCCGGAGAUUAAGCGUGUUGUGAAAUGUAGAUGCUCAACGUCUGCACUGCAGCGCGAACUGGUUUCCUUGAGUACGCACAAAGUGGGCGGAAUUCGUGGUGUAGCGGUGAAAAUGCUUAGAUAUCACGAAGAACUCCGAUUGCGAAGGCAGCUCACUGGAGCG